UGCCAGCCGCCGCGGUAAUACGAAGGGGGCGAGCGUUGUUCGGAAUUACUGGGCGUAAAGGGCGCGUAGGCGGUCUUUUAAGUUAGGCGUGAAAGCCCCGGGCUCAACCCGGGAACUGCGCUUAAGACUGGAAGACUAGAAAACGGAAGAGGGUAGUGGAAUUCCCAGUGUAGAGGUGAGAUGCGUAGAUAUAGGAAGGAACAUCAGUGGCGAAGGCGGCCACCUGGUCCGAUUUUGACGCUGAGGCGCGAAAGCGUGGGGAGCAAACAGGAUUAGAUA
This 279-nucleotide ribosomal RNA is filed under the name uncultured bacterium. Its description in RNAcentral is "partial 16S ribosomal RNA". It matches the Rfam family "Bacterial small subunit ribosomal RNA", at positions 506 to 784 of the family's 1533-position model. The record is from RNAcentral.